This 475-nucleotide ribosomal RNA is filed under the name uncultured bacterium. RNAcentral describes it as "bacterial SSU rRNA". It matches the Rfam family "Bacterial small subunit ribosomal RNA", at positions 915 to 1391 of the family's 1533-position model. The record is from RNAcentral.
GGGGGCCCGCAAGCGGUGGAGCAUGUGGUUUAAUUCGAUGCAACGCGAAGAACCUUACCUGGCCUUGACAUCCACGGAAUUUGGCAGAGAUGCCUUAGUGCCUUCGGGAACCGUGAGACAGGUGCUGCAUGGCUGUCGUCAGCUCGUGUUGUGAAAUGUUGGGUUAAGUCCCGCAACGAGCGCAACCCUUAUCCUUUGUUGCCAGCACGUAAUGGUGGGAACUCAAAGGAGACUGCCGGUGAUAAACCGGAGGAAGGUGGGGAUGACGUCAAGUCAUCAUGGCCCUUACGGCCAGGGCUACACACGUGCUACAAUGGCGCAUACAAAGAGAAGCGACCUCGCGAGAGCAAGCGGACCUCAUAAAGUGCGUCGUAGUCCGGAUCGGAGUCUGCAACUCGACUCCGUGAAGUCGGAAUCGCUAGUAAUCGUAGAUCAGAAUGCUACGGUGAAUACGUUCCCGGGCCUUGUACACACC